RNAcentral lists this unclassified non-coding RNA (630 nucleotides) under Scedosporium boydii. Its description in RNAcentral is "sequence contains 18S rRNA gene, ITS1, 5.8S rRNA gene, ITS2, 28S rRNA gene". The stretch from base 215 to 368 matches the Rfam family "5.8S ribosomal RNA". Lineage: Eukaryota; Fungi; Ascomycota; Sordariomycetes; Microascales; Microascaceae. The record is from RNAcentral.
AGUCGUAACAAGGUCUCCGUUGGUGAACCAGCGGAGGGAUCAUUACAGAGUUACUACUCCAAACCCAUUGUGAACCUUACCUAUGUUCUGUUGCCUCGGCGGCGUGGUCAGCGCCCCCUCUGAAAAGAGGACGAUGCCCUCCCGCCGGCAGCACCAAACUCUUUGAAUUUUACAGCGGAUUACAGUUCUGAUUUGAAAACAAAAAACAAGUUAAAACUUUCAACAACGGAUCUCUUGGUUCUGGCAUCGAUGAAGAACGCAGCGAAAUGCGAUAAGUAAUGUGAAUUGCAGAAUUCAGUGAAUCAUCGAAUCUUUGAACGCACAUUGCGCCCGGCAGUAAUCUGCCGGGCAUGCCUGUCCGAGCGUCAUUUCAACCCUCGAACCUCCGUUUCCUCAGGGAAGCUCAGGGUCGGUGUUGGGGCGCUACGGCGAGUCUUCGCGACCCUCCGUAGGCCCUGAAAUACAGUGGCGGUCCCGCCGCGGUUGCCUUCUGCGUAGUAAGUCUCUUUUGCAAGCUCGCAUUGGGUCCCGGCGGAGGCCUGCCGUCAAACCACCUAUAACUCCAGAUGGUUUGACCUCGGAUCAGGUAGGGUUACCCGCUGAACUUAAGCAUAUCAAUAAGCGGAGGAA